CCUACGGGUGGCAGCAGUGGGGAAUAUUGGGCAAUGGAGGAAACUCUGACCCAGCAACGCCGCGUGAAUGAUGAAGGUUUUCGGAUUGUAAAGUUCUUUUCUUAGGGAAGAAGAAAGUGACGGUACCUUAGAAAUAAGCCUCGGCUAACUACGUGCCAGCAGCCGCGGUAAUACGUAGGAGGCAAGCGUUAUCCGGAAUGACUGGGCGUAAAGGGUGCGUAGGUGGGUUGUUAAGUUGGUUGCGAAACUCCGAGGCUCAACCUGGGCACGUCUUCCGAAACUGUCGGACUUGAGUGCAGGAGAGGCGACUGGAAUUCCUAGUGUAGCGGUGGAAUGCGUAGAUAUUAGGAGGAACACCAGUGGCGAAGGCGAGUUGCUGGACUGUAACUGACGCUGAGGCACGAAAGCGUGGGGAGCAAACAGGAUUAGAUACCCCAGUAGUC
RNAcentral lists this ribosomal RNA (443 nucleotides) under uncultured bacterium. Its description in RNAcentral is "partial 16S ribosomal RNA". It matches the Rfam family "Bacterial small subunit ribosomal RNA", at positions 338 to 795 of the family's 1533-position model. The record is from RNAcentral.